Molecule: ribosomal RNA, 2713 nt
Filed under: Klebsiella pneumoniae
Lineage: Bacteria; Pseudomonadati; Pseudomonadota; Gammaproteobacteria; Enterobacterales; Enterobacteriaceae
Description: bacterial LSU rRNA
Rfam family: Bacterial large subunit ribosomal RNA
Source: RNAcentral
AACUGAAACAUCUAAGUACCCCGAGGAAAAGAAAUCAACCGAGAUUCCCCCAGUAGCGGCGAGCGAACGGGGAGCAGCCCAGAGUCUGAAUCAGCUUGUGUGUUAGUGGAACGGUCUGGAAAGUCCGACGGUACAGGGUGAUAGUCCCGUACACCAAAAUGCACAGGUUGUGAACUCGAAGAGUAGGGCGGGACACGUGGUAUCCUGUCUGAAUAUGGGGGGACCAUCCUCCAAGGCUAAAUACUCCUGACUGACCGAUAGUGAACCAGUACCGUGAGGGAAAGGCGAAAAGAACCCCGGCGAGGGGAGUGAAAAAGAACCUGAAACCGUGUACGUACAAGCAGUGGGAGCACCUUCGGGUGUGACUGCGUACCUUUUGUAUAAUGGGUCAGCGACUUAUAUUCUGUAGCAAGGUUAACCGUAUAGGGGAGCCGCAGGGAAACCGAGUCUUAACUGGGCGUUAAGUUGCAGGGUAUAGACCCGAAACCCGGUGAUCUAGCCAUGGGCAGGUUGAAGGUUGGGUAACACUAACUGGAGGACCGAACCGACUAAUGUUGAAAAAUUAGCGGAUGACUUGUGGCUGGGGGUGAAAGGCCAAUCAAACCGGGAGAUAGCUGGUUCUCCCCGAAAGCUAUUUAGGUAGCGCCUCGUGAACUCAUCUUCGGGGGUAGAGCACUGUUUCGGCUAGGGGGUCAUCCCGACUUACCAACCCGAUGCAAACUACGAAUACCGAAGAAUGUUAUCACGGGAGACACACGGCGGGUGCUAACGUCCGUCGUGAAGAGGGAAACAACCCAGACCGCCAGCUAAGGUCCCAAAGUCAUGGUUAAGUGGGAAACGAUGUGGGAAGGCACAGACAGCCAGGAUGUUGGCUUAGAAGCAGCCAUCAUUUAAAGAAAGCGUAAUAGCUCACUGGUCGAGUCGGCCUGCGCGGAAGAUGUAACGGGGCUAAACCAUGCACCGAAGCUGCGGCAGCGACACUAUGUGUUGUUGGGUAGGGGAGCGUUCUGUAAGCCUGCGAAGGUGUGCUGUGAGGCAUGCUGGAGGUAUCAGAAGUGCGAAUGCUGACAUAAGUAACGAUAAAGCGGGUGAAAAGCCCGCUCGCCGGAAGACCAAGGGUUCCUGUCCAACGUUAAUCGGGGCAGGGUGAGUCGACCCCUAAGGCGAGGCCGAAAGGCGUAGUCGAUGGGAAACAGGUUAAUAUUCCUGUACUUGGUGUUACUGCGAAGGGGGGACGGAGAAGGCUAUGUUAGCCGGGCGACGGUUGUCCCGGUUUAAGCAUGUAGGCUGAUUGUCCAGGCAAAUCCGGAUAAUCAAGGCUGAGGUGUGAUGACGAGGCACUACGGUGCUGAAGUAACAAAUGCCCUGCUUCCAGGAAAAGCCUCUAAGCAUCAGGUAACAUCAAAUCGUACCCCAAACCGACACAGGUGGUCAGGUAGAGAAUACCAAGGCGCUUGAGAGAACUCGGGUGAAGGAACUAGGCAAAAUGGUGCCGUAACUUCGGGAGAAGGCACGCUGGUGUGUAGGUGAAGUCCCUGCGGAUGGAGCUGAGACCAGUCGAAGAUACCAGCUGGCUGCAACUGUUUAUUAAAAACACAGCACUGUGCAAACACGAAAGUGGACGUAUACGGUGUGACGCCUGCCCGGUGCCGGAAGGUUAAUUGAUGGGGUUAUCCGUAAGGAGAAGCUCUUGAUCGAAGCCCCGGUAAACGGCGGCCGUAACUAUAACGGUCCUAAGGUAGCGAAAUUCCUUGUCGGGUAAGUUCCGACCUGCACGAAUGGCGUAAUGAUGGCCAGGCUGUCUCCACCCGAGACUCAGUGAAAUUGAACUCGCUGUGAAGAUGCAGUGUACCCGCGGCAAGACGGAAAGACCCCGUGAACCUUUACUAUAGCUUGACACUGAACAUUGAGCCUUGAUGUGUAGGAUAGGUGGGAGGCUUUGAAGCGUGGACGCCAGUCUGCGUGGAGCCAACCUUGAAAUACCACCCUUUAAUGUUUGAUGUUCUAACGUUGGCCCCUGACCGGGGUUGCGGACAGUGUCUGGUGGGUAGUUUGACUGGGGCGGUCUCCUCCCAAAGCGUAACGGAGGAGCACGAAGGUUAGCUAAUCCUGGUCGGACAUCAGGAGGUUAGUGCAAUGGCAUAAGCUAGCUUGACUGCGAGCGUGACGGCGCGAGCAGGUGCGAAAGCAGGUCAUAGUGAUCCGGUGGUUCUGAAUGGAAGGGCCAUCGCUCAACGGAUAAAAGGUACUCCGGGGAUAACAGGCUGAUACCGCCCAAGAGUUCAUAUCGACGGCGGUGUUUGGCACCUCGAUGUCGGCUCAUCACAUCCUGGGGCUGAAGUAGGUCCCAAGGGUAUGGCUGUUCGCCAUUUAAAGUGGUACGCGAGCUGGGUUUAGAACGUCGUGAGACAGUUCGGUCCCUAUCUGCCGUGGGCGCUGGAGAAUUGAGGGGGGCUGCUCCUAGUACGAGAGGACCGGAGUGGACGCAUCACUGGUGUUCGGGUUGUCAUGCCAAUGGCACUGCCCGGUAGCUAAAUGCGGAAGAGAUAAGUGCUGAAAGCAUCUAAGCACGAAACUUGCCCCGAGAUGAGUUCUCCCUGAGACUUUAAGUCUCCUGAAGGAACGUUAAAGACGAUGACGUUGAUAGGCCGGGUGUGUAAGCGCAGCGAUGCGUUGAGCUAACCGGUACUAAUGAACCGUGAGGCUUAACCUU